This 60-nucleotide microRNA precursor is filed under the name Xenopus tropicalis (tropical clawed frog). Its description in RNAcentral is "Xtr-Mir-430-P3_pre stem-loop". Lineage: Eukaryota; Metazoa; Chordata; Amphibia; Anura; Pipidae. The record is from RNAcentral.
ACUUAAACAUUGAGGGACUUUUUCCCAUGUACUGCUGUAAGUGCUUCAAUGUUUUGGUGA